RNAcentral lists this transfer RNA (73 nucleotides) under Agrococcus pavilionensis RW1. It matches the Rfam family "tRNA". From Rfam's summary of the family: Transfer RNA (tRNA) molecules are approximately 80 nucleotides in length. Their secondary structure includes four short double-helical elements and three loops (D, anti-codon, and T loops). Further hydrogen bonds mediate the characteristic L-shaped molecular structure. tRNAs have two regions of fundamental functional importance: the anti-codon, which is responsible for specific mRNA codon recognition, and the 3' end, to which the tRNAs corresponding amino acid is attached (by aminoacyl-tRNA synthetases). tRNAs cope with the degeneracy of the genetic code in two manners: having more than one tRNA (with a specific anti-codon) for a particular amino acid; and 'wobble' base-pairing, i.e. permitting non-standard base-pairing at the 3rd anti-codon position. The record is from Rfam by way of RNAcentral. Lineage: Bacteria; Bacillati; Actinomycetota; Actinomycetes; Micrococcales; Microbacteriaceae.
UCCUCGAUAGCUCAAUUGGCAGAGCAGCCGGCUGUUAACCGGCAGGUUCCAAGUUCGAAUCUUGGUCGAGGAG